Molecule: unclassified non-coding RNA, 297 nt
Filed under: Hevea brasiliensis (rubber tree)
Lineage: Eukaryota; Viridiplantae; Streptophyta; Magnoliopsida; Malpighiales; Euphorbiaceae
Source: RNAcentral
AUUGAUGCAUGAUGGAUUUUAAAUGACCCACUGGUUCUCCCUAUAUUAUAUAUAUGUUAUGUUUAUGAUGUCAUCAUGCAUGAUCUAUGGUGGUAAGACUAGGUGAAACCUAAUAAGCCCUUGGCACACUGCUUUAAGCAAAAGUCCUGAGUAGCCUUUGUAUGAGCUGGACACAUUAGAUACAUUAAGCGAAAGUCCUAAGAAACCUCUGUUUGAUUCAGGUAUAUUGGAUUUGGUGAAUCACUGUUGAUAAGUCCAUUUUAUGUGGAAUAUUUUUUAUGUAAAAAUUCAUUUGGA